RNAcentral lists this ribosomal RNA (334 nucleotides) under uncultured bacterium. RNAcentral's name for it is "partial 16S ribosomal RNA". It matches the Rfam family "Bacterial small subunit ribosomal RNA", at positions 338 to 689 of the family's 1533-position model. The record is from RNAcentral.
CCUACGGGAGGCUGCAGUGGGGAAUAUUGCACAAUGGGGGAAACCCUGAAGCAGCAACGCCGCGUGGAGGAUGAAGGUUUUCGGAUUGUAAACUCCUUUUGUUAGAGAAGAGAAUGACGGUAGCUAACGAAUAAGCACCGGCUAACGCCGUGCCAGCAGCCGCGGUAAUACGGAGGGUGCAAGCGUUACUCGGAAUCACUGGGCGUAAAGAGCGCGUAGGCGGGAUAGCAAGUCAGAUGUGAAAUCCUAGGGCUUAACCAUAGAACGGCAUUUGAAACUGUUAUUCUAGAGUAUGGGAGCGGUAGGUGCACUUCUUGGUGUAGGGGUCCACUCC